RNAcentral lists this ribosomal RNA (135 nucleotides) under Castor canadensis (American beaver). The record is from RNAcentral. Lineage: Eukaryota; Metazoa; Chordata; Mammalia; Rodentia; Castoridae.
GUCUAUGGCCAUACCACCCUGAACCCGCCUGAGUUUGUCUGAUCUCAGAAGCUAAGCAGGGUUGGGCCUGGUUAGUACUUGAAUGAAAGGCAGAUCUUCAGAAGAGACUGCUCAGAGACUAGCAAUUUGGAGACA